This 253-nucleotide ribosomal RNA is filed under the name uncultured bacterium. RNAcentral's name for it is "partial 16S ribosomal RNA". It matches the Rfam family "Bacterial small subunit ribosomal RNA", at positions 524 to 776 of the family's 1533-position model. The record is from RNAcentral.
UACGUAGGGGCCUAGCGUUGUCCGGAAUUACUGGGCGUAAAGGGCGCGUAGGCGGUGUGUCAAGUCAGGCGUGAAAGCCCCGGGCUCAACCUGGGAACAGCGCUUGAGACUGGCACGCUCGAGUUCGGGAGAGGAUGGUGGAAUUCCCAGUGUAGAGGUGAAAUUCGUAGAUAUUGGGAAGAACACCGAUGGCGAAGGCGGCAUCCUGGACCGGCAUUGACGCUGAGGAGCGAAAGCUAGGGGAGCAAACGGG